AGCCGCCGCGGUAAUACGGAGGGUGCAAGCGUUACUCGGAAUCACUGGGCGUAAAGGGCGCGUAGGCGGAUUAUCAAGUCUCUUGUGAAAUCUAAUGGCUUAACCAUUAAACUGCUUGGGAAACUGAUAGUCUAGAGUGAGGGAGAGGCAGAUGGAAUUGGUGGUGUAGGGGUAAAAUCCGUAGAUAUCACCAAGAAUACCCAUUGCGAAGGCGAUCUGCUGGAAC
This 226-nucleotide ribosomal RNA is filed under the name Campylobacter jejuni. RNAcentral describes it as "partial 16S ribosomal RNA". It matches the Rfam family "Bacterial small subunit ribosomal RNA", at positions 510 to 735 of the family's 1533-position model. The record is from RNAcentral. Lineage: Bacteria; Pseudomonadati; Campylobacterota; Epsilonproteobacteria; Campylobacterales; Campylobacteraceae.